GACGAACGCUGGCGGCGUGCCUAAUACAUGCAAGUCGACCUUACUGGCGAACGGUUUAUUAACACCUGGGUAACCUGCCCAUCAGAAGGCGAUAACCCGUGGAAACAGCUGCUAAUACCCUCUACUGAUUUAUGUACCCGCGGUGCAUUAGCUUGUUGGGGAGGUAACGGCUCACCAAGGCGACGAUGCAUAGCCGACCUGAGAGGGUGAUCGGCCACAUUGGGACUGAGACACGGCCCAAACUCCUACGGGAGGCAGCAGUAGGGAAUCUUCGGCAAUGGACGAAAGUCUGACCGAGCAACGCCGCGUGAGUGAAGAAGGUUUUCGGAUCGUAAAGCUCUGUUGUUAGAGAAGCGGUAUCUAACCAGAAAGCCACGGCUAACUACGUGCCAGCAGCCGCGGUAAUAC
Molecule: ribosomal RNA, 408 nt
Filed under: uncultured bacterium
Lineage: Bacteria
Description: partial 16S ribosomal RNA
Rfam family: Bacterial small subunit ribosomal RNA
Source: RNAcentral